Molecule: transfer RNA, 73 nt
Filed under: Stegodyphus mimosarum
Lineage: Eukaryota; Metazoa; Arthropoda; Arachnida; Araneae; Eresidae
Rfam family: tRNA
About the family: Transfer RNA (tRNA) molecules are approximately 80 nucleotides in length. Their secondary structure includes four short double-helical elements and three loops (D, anti-codon, and T loops).
Source: Rfam by way of RNAcentral
CCCUUCGUGGUGUAGUGGUCAGCACGCUCGAUGCGUAACCGAGAGGUCCGUGGUUCAAUUCCCGGCGAGGGCA